This 380-nucleotide ribosomal RNA is filed under the name Acanthamoeba sp. RNAcentral's name for it is "SSU rRNA". It matches the Rfam family "Eukaryotic small subunit ribosomal RNA", at positions 739 to 1091 of the family's 1831-position model. The record is from RNAcentral. Lineage: Eukaryota; Discosea; Longamoebia; Acanthamoebidae.
UGGCCCAGAUCGUUUACCGUGAAAAAAUUAGAGUGUUCAAAGCAGGCAGAUCCAAUUUUCUGCCACCGAAUACAUUAGCAUGGGAUAAUGGAAUAGGACCCUGUCCUCCUAUUUUCAGUUGGUUUUGGCAGCGCGAGGACUAGGGUAAUGAUUAAUAGGGAUAGUUGGGGGCAUUAAUAUUUAAUUGUCAGAGGUGAAAUUCUUGGAUUUAUGAAAGAUUAACUUCUGCGAAAGCAUCUGCCAAGGAUGUUUUCAUUAAUCAAGAACGAAAGUUAGGGGAUCGAAGACGAUCAGAUACCGUCGUAGUCUUAACCAUAAACGAUGCCGACCAGCGAUUAGGAGACGUUGAAUACAAAACACCACCAUCGGCGCGGUCGUCC